This 634-nucleotide long non-coding RNA is filed under the name Homo sapiens (human). Its description in RNAcentral is "non-protein coding lnc-CBLB-8:1". The record is from RNAcentral. Lineage: Eukaryota; Metazoa; Chordata; Mammalia; Primates; Hominidae.
GCCACCCCGUCUGGGAAGUGAGGAGUGUCUCUGCCUGGACUUGACUCCAGUUCUACUGUUGACCUCAAGACCAAAAAAGCUAGAGAGCAAACACAGCCUACAGCUUUCAAGGAGAAACACUUGUGGCCUCUUUCUUAAUCAACUUCACGGUGACUUAAAAAUAUUUAUGUUAUGUCAAUUGAUACAAUGAUUGGGAUAUAUUCUAUUUUCUUAAAUAUUCAAGGUAAGAGCCAUCUAAAUUUUCAUUGAUGUUUUCUUGGACAAAAAGACAUUUAAAAGAUAUGAAAAGAUAACUGAUUUUAAAGGGCAAAAGAUUGCAGUUAAAUUUUUGAACUUUUAUAAUGAGUUCCUUCUUUUAUAAGACUCAGUCAUAGAUUAAGUCUUAUAUUUCAUAUGUUGAAAGUAAUGGCAAAAACUGCAAUUACUUUGCACCAACCUAAUACAUAGGCUCUGCCUUCAGAGUAUUUACAGUCCAGAACUGUGCUGUCUAAUAUAGACACUAGACACAUAUGGCUAUUGAAAUAGAAAUUUAAUAAGAUUAAAAAUGUAUUUCCUCAGCUGAACUCAUCACAUUUCAAACACUCAGUAGGUCCAUGUGAAUAGUUAUAUUUGAUAGUGCAGAUUACCAUCACCA